CUUGCAGUGAGGGUCCCAAAUCUGAACACAGGAUUUGAGACUGUAGCUUAGAAAUCAAUAACCCAGACUCUUCCUGUUUGAGCUAGUGGACAUUCUAAGACCAAGGUCAGUGAAGAAGAGGAGGAGGAGGUCCUCCAGGCAUGGGAACAGAGAUUCCCCUGCGGCCUGUGCUGCAGACCAUGAGCUGUUGCAUACUGCUGCUGAAGGACUAGAUGGUCUCCAGACAUCCUGUCCAGACUCAAGAAUUCUGUGUUUUUGUUGGGAAAAAAGAAAAAACAAACAAACAAACAAACAAAACCCACUAGGCAAGCCUGAGAUAUGAAGAAGAUAUAUAUAGUUAUAUUAGCAAGUAGGUGGAACUGAAGGAGGAAGAAAAUAUUAGUGCAAUAACCCUUAAAUUAUCAAGAGAAUUCUGUAAUAAAAUCUUUCUUCCCCUCCCCCAAAUGAAACCACAGUGAUUAUUCACUGGGCUAUCACAAAGGAAAACUGGUCAUAGUCUAUGUUUUGAACCCUUACUUCACCCUACUCAUA
Long non-coding RNA from Hirundo rustica (Barn swallow), 531 nucleotides. RefSeq lists it as uncharacterized. The record is from RefSeq and is a predicted model, not a curated record. The transcript is spliced from 4 exons. Lineage: Eukaryota; Metazoa; Chordata; Aves; Passeriformes; Hirundinidae.